GAUCAUGGCUCAGAUUGAACGCUGGCGGCAUGCCUUACACAUGCAAGUCGAACGGCAGCAUGGAGAGCUUGCUCUCUGAUGGCGAGUGGCGAACGGGUGAGUAAUACAUCGGAACGUGUCUGUUUGUGGGGGGACAACCGGUCCGAAAGGAUGGCUAAUACCGCAUGAGACCUGAGGGUGAAAGCCGGGGACCNCAAGGCCCGGCGCAGACGGAGCGGCCGAUGAUUGG
This 229-nucleotide ribosomal RNA is filed under the name uncultured bacterium. RNAcentral's name for it is "partial 16S ribosomal RNA". It matches the Rfam family "Bacterial small subunit ribosomal RNA", at positions 15 to 240 of the family's 1533-position model. The record is from RNAcentral.